Molecule: small nucleolar RNA, 95 nt
Filed under: Mayetiola destructor (Hessian fly)
Lineage: Eukaryota; Metazoa; Arthropoda; Insecta; Diptera; Cecidomyiidae
Description: small nucleolar RNA SNORD53/SNORD92
Source: RNAcentral
UUCAAAUGAUGAUCACCCACACCUUGGUUUCGCUUAAAAAAAUAUCUGAUUUUAAUUAGAUGAUUAAACCAUUUUUCUCUUGGCUGUCUGAUGAA